Molecule: ribosomal RNA, 250 nt
Filed under: uncultured bacterium
Lineage: Bacteria
Description: partial 16S ribosomal RNA
Rfam family: Bacterial small subunit ribosomal RNA
Source: RNAcentral
CCGCGGUAAUACGUAGGGUGCGAGCGUUAAUCGGAAUUACUGGGCGUAAAGCGUGCGCAGGCGGUUUUGUAAGACAGGCGUGAAAUCCCCGGGCUUAACCUGGGAACUGCGUUUGUGACUGCAAGGCUAGAGUACGGCAGAGGGGGGUGGAAUUCCACGUGUAGCAGUGAAAUGCGUAGAGAUGUGGAGGAACACCAAUGGCGAAGGCAGCCCCCUGGGUCGAUACUGACGCUCAUGCACGAAAGCGUGG